AGCCUCAGAGGGAGUUCCGCAACAAUGCCCAUCGGUGCGCCUGCCUAUAACCCGGCCUAAUUUGCAGCACAGUCGGCCGAUUAAUUAAAAAAUGCCAAAAAUCGGUCGAUUAAUUGGCUGGCCGAUCAAUUGGUCGACCUCUAGUACAGACAUUCCUCUCAUUGAUAGCGAGAGCUUGAAGGGGUGAUUUGGAAUGACAUUUUUUUCAGGAGUCACGACAGUAGAGGCAGCGCAACUAUAACUACAUGUAAUUAUUCCCGCCCACUCUAAAGCGAUACUAAACUGCAGUGGAAACACAAGCAUAGCCGUGCUGAGCCGAGCCGAGCCAAGCCGUACCACGCAGUGGAAAAGCACCAUAAAACUACUGACACUUAAACUGAUCUUUGGACCAAGAGAAUAACAGACAAUCUGCAGAAAGGCCUAAAAUGCAGUUUUGUCAUUAUCAUCAGCAGGAAAUUACCUACAAGAGCAUGUGCAGAACCCAGCUGUGUGUCAAUCAAGAGCGAACAUUCCAUCAAAGACUUUCCUUCUGCAUUUAGCGAUGGAACCGUGACUUCUGACCCCAGGUACAGCAAGAAACUCAUGACAGUAAUGAUACUGAUUUUUUGAUAAUGGCUCUAUAGUGUCUUAUUCUAAAUGAAUUUGUUGUUUAAAUGUAAGAAUUUGAAGAAAAAAUGAAAAGAUGUGGAUUUAUAUCUAACGUUUCCAUACAUUUGUGAAAGGGUGUCCUCUUUUUUUCUGCCCCUCAAAAUGUAUGUGCAAAGCAUUGCCCUGUACUACACUAUGGAAUGCUUGGGACAGUAGUUUAGUAGACGUAUAGCAGACAGGUCUAAAACACUACUUUUUGUCAGUGUCAUCAGCAGGAAAAGACCCAGAGGAGCAUCUCCAGAACCCAGCUAUGUGUCAAUGAAGAGCAACAGAUCUAUAAAGCAACCCCCCGAACUCACUGAUGAACCCAGUCUGAAGAUGCUUUCCAGACAAAACAGUACUUACCCCUACUGUCAGACCCAGAACAAGACAGAAUCAGACUUGCUGGACGAGACUAAAGAACUGCAGAGAGUGAAAGACAUACACAAAACCAGCAUGAAGAACAAGUAUGAGAGUUUAUUUGAGGGAAUCAAAAUACAAGAGAAUCAAACCCUCCUUAAAAGCAUUUACACACAGCUGUACAUCAUAG
Molecule: long non-coding RNA, 1177 nt
Organism: Cyprinus carpio (common carp)
Lineage: Eukaryota; Metazoa; Chordata; Actinopteri; Cypriniformes; Cyprinidae
Source: Ensembl